Molecule: non-coding RNA, 483 nt
Organism: Cyanistes caeruleus (blue tit)
Lineage: Eukaryota; Metazoa; Chordata; Aves; Passeriformes; Paridae
Source: RefSeq, a predicted model, not a curated record
GCCAAAGAAACAAAAGUGAUCCAGGAGACCAAAGGACAGAAAUUUGGAGAUCUUGUGGUUUAUUCCCUCCUCUCACAGAGGCAGCUCAGGCACAGGGUGACUUUGCUCCAGGAUUGUCACAGGCUCAGGAACGCUGCCCUGAAAUCCCUAAAGGAGGGCACAGGCCUGGAACACCUCUUGGAAGAUUUAUCAGUGGAUGAUGCCAGCAGGGACAUUUUGCACCUCCUGGAGGACAACACCGAAUAUUUGUUUUUAGUGCUGGAAUUUAUGCAAGCUGUAAGGUCAUUACAGCUGAGAGAAACUCACUUUAAGGAAAUAAUCAGAAGUUUAAAAGGCUGUAACCAGAAGUUUGUGAAUGAUGCAAACAUCAUAACCAAUGGAGUGAAAAAAUUCAGAGAGCAGAAAAUCAGCAAGCUGAAGGAACACCUGAAGCACUUCCUGGAAAAGAAAAAAACUGAAAAUAUUUCGAGUAGUUUUGAUCCA